Molecule: ribosomal RNA, 536 nt
Filed under: uncultured bacterium
Lineage: Bacteria
Description: bacterial SSU rRNA
Rfam family: Bacterial small subunit ribosomal RNA
Source: RNAcentral
GCUUAGUGGCGAACGGGUGAGUAACGCGUGAGUAACCUGCCCUAGAGUGGGGGACAACAGUUGGAAACGACUGCUAAUACCGCAUAAGCCCACGGUGCCGCAUGACACUGAGGGAAAAGGAUUUAUUCGCUUUAGGAUGGACUCGCGUCCAAUUAGCUAGUUGGUGAGGUAACGGCCCACCAAGGCGACGAUUGGUAGCCGGACUGAGAGGUUGAACGGCCACAUUGGGACUGAGACACGGCCCAGACUCCUACGGGAGGCAGCAGUGGGGGAUAUUGCACAAUGGGGGAAACCCUGAUGCAGCGACGCCGCGUGGAGGAAGAAGGUUUUCGGAUUGUAAACUCCUGUCGUUAGGGACGAUAAUGACGGUACCUAACAAGAAAGCACCGGCUAACUACGUGCCAGCAGCCGCGGUAAAACGUAGGGUGCAAGCGUUGUCCGGAAUUACUGGGUGUAAAGGGAGCGCAGGCGGGAAGACAAGUUGGAAGUGAAAACCAUGGGCUCAACCCAUGAAUUGCUUUCAAAACUGUUUUUCU